ACGCUAUCUACAGGCUUAACACAUGCAAGUCGAGGGGCAGCAUUUUAGUUUGCUUGCAAACUGAAGAUGGCGACCGGCGCACGGGUGAGUAACACGUAUCCAACCUGCCGAUAACUCCGGAAUAGCCUUUCGAAAGAAAGAUUAAUACCGGAUAGCAUACGAAUAUCGCAUGAUAUUUUUAUUAAAGAAUUUCGGUUAUCGAUGGGGAUGCGUUCCAUUAGUUUGUUGGCGGGGUAACGGCCCACCUAGACUACGAUGGAUAGGGGUUCUGAGAGGAAGGUCCCCCACAUUGGAACUGAGACACGGUCCAAACUCCUACGGGAGGCAGCAGUGAGGAAUAUUGGUCAAUGGGCGAGAGCCUGAACCAGCCAAGUAGCGUGAAGGAUGAAGGCUCUAUGGGUCGUAAACUUCUUUUAUAUGGGAAUAAAGUUUUCCACGUGUGGAAUUUUGUAUGUACCAUAUGAAUAAGGAUCGGCUAACUCCGUGCCAGCAGCCGCGGUAAUACGGAGGAUCCGAGCGUUAUCCGGAUUUAUUGGGUUUAAAGGGAGCGUAGGUGGAUUGUUAAGUCAGUUGUGAAAGUUUGCGGCUCAACCGUAAAAUUGCAGUUGAAACUGGCAGUCUUGAGUACAGUAGAGGUGGGCGGAAUUCGUGGUGUAGCGGUGAAAUGCUUAGAUAUCACGAAGAACUCCGAUUGCGAAGGCAGCUCACUAGACUGUCACUGACACUGAUGCUCGAAAGUGUGGGUAUCAAACAGGAUUAGAUACCCUGGUAGUCCACACAGUAAACGAUGAAUACUCGCUGUUUGCGAUAUACAGUAAGCGGCCAAGCGAAAGCAUUAAGUAUUCCACCUGGGGAGUACGCCGGCAACGGUGAAACUCAAAGGAAUUGACGGGGGCCCGCACAAGCGGAGGAACAUGUGGUUUAAUUCGAUGAUACGCGAGGAACCUUACCCGGGCUUAAAUUGCAACAGAAUAUAUUGGAAACAGUAUAGCCGUAAGGCUGUUGUGAAGGUGCUGCAUGGUUGUCGUCAGCUCGUGCCGUGAGGUGUCGGCUUAAGUGCCAUAACGAGCGCAACCCUUAUCUUUAGUUACUAACAGGUUAUGCUGAGGACUCUAGAGAGACUGCCGUCGUAAGAUGUGAGGAAGGUGGGGAUGACGUCAAAUCAGCACGGCCCUUACGUCCGGGGCUACACACGUGUUACAAUGGGGGGUACAGAAGGCAGCUAGCGGGUGACCGUAUGCUAAUCCCAAAAGCCUCUCUCAGUUCGGAUCGAAGUCUGCAACCCGACUUCGUGAAGCUGGAUUCGCUAGUAAUCGCGCAUCAGCCACGGCGCGGUGAAUACGUUCCCGGGCCUUGUACACACCGCCCGUCAAGCCAUGGGAGCCGGGGGUACCUGAAGUACGUAACCGCAAGGAUCGUCCUAGGGUAAAACUGGUGACUGGGG
Molecule: ribosomal RNA, 1444 nt
Filed under: uncultured organism
Description: SSU rRNA
Rfam family: Bacterial small subunit ribosomal RNA
Source: RNAcentral